ACUCGUCGGCUCGCUGUCUCGAACUGAA
RNAcentral lists this small RNA (28 nucleotides) under Bombyx mori (domestic silkworm). RNAcentral's name for it is "piRNA piR-bmo-1856471". The record is from RNAcentral. Lineage: Eukaryota; Metazoa; Arthropoda; Insecta; Lepidoptera; Bombycidae.